AGUGGAAGAGGAGGUGGAGGACCUUGGAUUCCAGGGAGAGAAGCUGGAGAACAGUGCAGAAAGAAGGAAGCUGUGAAGGAAAUCGGAGGCAAGCAGAAGACAGACCUUCAUUCUCAUUGCUGCAGCCGCUCCUGCCUUGAGGCAGUGAAAGGAACUCCUGUUUGCUCUGCACUGAUACACAAUUUCACUGGAACUGAGUCAUCUCUGAUGUAUCUGCUAAACCCUGGCUGAAGACAAGAUCAUCUCAACACAGCAAGAAUUUGAUAAUAAAACACCCAGGAGAACCAUGCACUUGUGAAAGAAAAAAGCAAUGGAACUGAAACCAAACACCUACUUGGUCAGCAGGAG
Molecule: long non-coding RNA, 348 nt
Organism: Lepidothrix coronata (blue-crowned manakin)
Lineage: Eukaryota; Metazoa; Chordata; Aves; Passeriformes; Pipridae
Exons: 3
Source: RefSeq, a predicted model, not a curated record